AAUCAUAGUGGCCUACUGGGCACUGAUCUUUCAUACAUUCUUUUGCAACCCACCCCCAGUACUCCCCUAGCUGCUUAUGCUCCUGUUGAUAUCUCAUUUCUUAUUGCUCACCUUUUUUUUUCCCCUGUUCAUUAGGGAAGCAAAGGCCAAAAGCAAAAGCUGACUAUUAAAAAAAUCGGCGAACGCAAAUCAGGGUCUGAACUAAGAGCCCAGCUGUUGCAUAAUUCCCAGAACUCCAGUCAAUCAACCUCACUUGGACACUUCUCUGAAAUUUCUUGCAAAUCUAAACCAGCAAAAGCAGACGUGG
Molecule: long non-coding RNA, 307 nt
Organism: Phyllostomus discolor (pale spear-nosed bat)
Lineage: Eukaryota; Metazoa; Chordata; Mammalia; Chiroptera; Phyllostomidae
Exons: 2
Source: RefSeq, a predicted model, not a curated record